AGGGUGUAAACGCUGCAGACUUGGUGUUGGAGGCCCUUUGGGGGCAUUCAGUGCCGGAGAGAAGUUGUUAAGUCUGCUACUUGGGGAGUACGUCCGCAAGGAUGAAACUUAAAGGAAUUGGCGGGGGAGGCACCGCAACGGGAGGAGCGUGCGGUUUAAUUGGAUUCAACACCGUAAAACUCACCAGGGAAGACUGUUACAUGAAGGCCGAGAUGAAGACUCUGCUAGAUUUUCAGAGAGGAGGUGCAUGGCGUCAGUGACU
RNAcentral lists this ribosomal RNA (262 nucleotides) under uncultured archaeon. Its description in RNAcentral is "partial 16S ribosomal RNA". It matches the Rfam family "Archaeal small subunit ribosomal RNA", at positions 748 to 1008 of the family's 1478-position model. The record is from RNAcentral.